GAUGAACGCUGGCGGCGUGCCUAAUACAUGCAAGUCGAGCGAACGGACGAGAAGCUUGCUUCUCUGAUGUUAGCGGCGGACGGGUGAGUAACACGUGGAUAACCUACCUAUAAGACUGGGAUAACUUCGGGAAACCGGAGCUAAUACCGGAUAAUAUUUUGAACCGCAUGGUUCAAAAGUGAAAGACGGUCUUGCUGUCACUUAUAGAUGGAUCCGCGCUGCAUUAGCUAGUUGGUAAGGUAACGGCUUACCAAGGCAGCGAUGCAUAGCCGACCUGAGAGGGUGAUCGGCCACACUGGAAGUGAGACACGGUCCAGACUCCUGCGGGGGGCAGCAGUAGGGAAUCUUCCGCAAUGGGCGAAAGCCGGACGGAGCAACGCCGCGUGAGUGAUGAAGGUCUUCGGAUCGUAAAACUCUGUUAUUAGGGAAGAACAUAUGUGUAAGUAACUGUGCACAUCCUGACGGUACCUAAUCAGAAAGCCACGGCUAACUCCGUG
Molecule: ribosomal RNA, 497 nt
Filed under: uncultured bacterium
Lineage: Bacteria
Description: partial 16S ribosomal RNA
Rfam family: Bacterial small subunit ribosomal RNA
Source: RNAcentral